GAUGAACGCUGGCGGCGUGCUUAACACAUGCAAGUCGAACGAAGCAUUUAGGACAGAUUACUUCGGUUUGAAGUUCUUUAUGACUGAGUGGCGGACGGGUGAGUAACGCGUGGGUAACCUGCCUUGUACUGGGGGGUAGCAGCUGGAAACGGCUGGUAAUACCGCAUAAGCGCACAAUGUUGCAUGACAUGGUGUGAAAAACUCCGGUGGUAUAAGAUGGACCCGCGUCUGAUUAGCUAGUUGGUGAGAUAACAGCCCACCAAGGCGACGAUCAGUAGCCGACCUGAGAGGGUGACCGGCCACAUUGGGACUGAGACACGGCCCAGACUCCUACGGGAGGCAGCAGUGGGGAAUAUUGCACAAUGGAGGAAACUCUGAUGCAGCGACGCCGCGUGAGUGAAGAAGUAAUUCGUUAUGUAAAGCUCUAUCAGCAGGGAAGAUAGUGACGGUACCUGACGAAGAAGCUCCGGCUAAAUACGUG
RNAcentral lists this ribosomal RNA (481 nucleotides) under uncultured bacterium. RNAcentral describes it as "partial 16S ribosomal RNA". It matches the Rfam family "Bacterial small subunit ribosomal RNA", at positions 28 to 507 of the family's 1533-position model. The record is from RNAcentral.